RNAcentral lists this ribosomal RNA (356 nucleotides) under uncultured bacterium. RNAcentral describes it as "partial 16S ribosomal RNA". It matches the Rfam family "Bacterial small subunit ribosomal RNA", at positions 338 to 691 of the family's 1533-position model. The record is from RNAcentral.
CCUACGGGUGGCAGCAGUGAGGAAUAUUGGUCAAUGGACGAGAGUCUGAACCAGCCAAGUAGCGUGAAGGAUGACGGCCCUAUGGGUUGUAAACUGCUUUUAUAAAGGAAUAAAACGAGGCACGUGGGCCUUUUUGCAUGUACGGUAUGAAUAAGGAUCGGCUAACUCCGUGCCAGCAGCCGCGGUAAUACGGAGGAUCCGAGCGUUAUCCGGAUUUAUUGGGUUUAAAGGGAGCGUAGAUGGGUUGUUAAGUCAGUUUUGAAAGUUUGCGGCUCAACCGUAAAAUUGCAAUUGAUACUGGCAGUCUUGUGUACAGUUGCGGUCGGCGGCAUUCGUGGUGUAGCGGUGAACUGCUU